Paramuricea clavata is the source of this 227-nucleotide non-coding RNA. NCBI's taxonomy places the organism in Eukaryota, Metazoa, Cnidaria, Anthozoa, Malacalcyonacea, Plexauridae. The record is from the annotation of a GenBank genome assembly.
ACAAGCUCUGGAUUGUGUCACGUGUUCAACAAAGGGGCCUGCUCGUUUAGCAAUCUUCUGUAAGUUAUUUAUACAGGUUUCGUUUCGCCUGUCGCUAAGUCUUGUGCAAUUAGCCAAUUGGAGAGCUUCGUCGUAUGAGUGGCCAGGAAAGAUAAUGCGCAUGACACGCUUUUGUACAGUCUUUCCAGUUCGUCAGACAGAUAGCGACAUGCUUAGUGAAAGACAUG